Molecule: unclassified non-coding RNA, 414 nt
Filed under: Hevea brasiliensis (rubber tree)
Lineage: Eukaryota; Viridiplantae; Streptophyta; Magnoliopsida; Malpighiales; Euphorbiaceae
Source: RNAcentral
UGACUUUAGGCAUCACAGAGAUUUCUUUAGACAAUCCAGGCUUGCUGUAGUAGAUGCUGAUCUAAAUCUGGGUGAACACACUAAUUCAAGGGCUACUGCGAGAGGAAGUCAAAAUCCUAACGAAGAUGUGGUGCUUAUUGGGUUUGAUGAUGCAGAUUCUGAAGAGAGAUUAAGUGACAUAUCCGAUGGUGUACUCUCAAUGGGAACUGAGACUGAUGGUUCAAUCAAUAGUAUUGUAGAGUACACUCUUUUCCCAGAAACUACAAAGCCACCUCCAGAGACCCCUGAGAAGCCCUCAAUUAUACCUGCUAAACUUCCACGGCCUACACAAAAGACGGUGCAAACAGGAUCUUCUCGGAUGUCACUGAAGAAGAGCACCCCUAAAGUCCCGAGUUCUAAAAAACCUCCUUCCGG